Molecule: non-coding RNA, 286 nt
Organism: Pelobates cultripes (western spadefoot toad)
Lineage: Eukaryota; Metazoa; Chordata; Amphibia; Anura; Pelobatidae
Source: the annotation of a GenBank genome assembly
UUGUGGUAGCCCACAAAAUAUUGGGACAUACAAAAAAAGUAGAGUAGCUGUUGACAUUAUAGUUGCGCAGGCACUUUGUUGACUCUAGAGAACCUCGGGCCAAUCGCAUAUCCUUGUGGCGGCAACUUUGCAUGCGGAUGUCAUCCAUAUCAACUGUCGAUGCCAGUACGGGUAACGGAGAAUCAGGGUUCCAUUCCGUACAAGAACCCUGAGAAACGGCUACUACAUGCAAGGAAGGCAGCAGGCGCGCAAAUGACCCACUCCCGACGCGGGAAGGUAGUGACGA